GGGCGCAUAGCUCAGUUGGUUUAGAGCGUCUGGUUUACACCCAGAAGGUCGGGGGUUCGAAUCCCUCUGCGCCCACCA
RNAcentral lists this transfer RNA (78 nucleotides) under Psychroflexus salis. RNAcentral's name for it is "tRNA-Val". It matches the Rfam family "tRNA". From Rfam's summary of the family: Transfer RNA (tRNA) molecules are approximately 80 nucleotides in length. Their secondary structure includes four short double-helical elements and three loops (D, anti-codon, and T loops). The record is from RNAcentral. Lineage: Bacteria; Pseudomonadati; Bacteroidota; Flavobacteriia; Flavobacteriales; Flavobacteriaceae.